AGCGAAAUUGGAUUAGCCCUUAAGCUUUACAUGUGUUAGACGAACGGUCUGGAAAGUCCGACGAUACAGGGUGAUAGUCCCGUAGUUGACGAUGCAUGUUCAGUGAAAUCGAGUAGGGCGGGACACGUGUUAUCCUGUCUGAAUAUGGGGGGACCAUCCUCCAAGGCUAAAUACUCCUGACUGACCGAUAGUGAACCAGUACCGUGAGGGAAAGGCGAAAAGAACCCCUGUGAGGGGAGUGAAAUAGAACCUGAAACCGUGUACGUACAAGCAGUAGGAGCACCUUCGUGGUGUGACUGCGUACCUUUUGUAUAAUGGGUCAGCGACUUAUAUUCAGUGGCAAGGUUAACCAUCUAGGGGAGCCGUAGGGAAACCGAGUCUUAACUGGGCGCCAUAGUCUCUGGAUAUAGACCCGAAACCGAGUGAUCUAGCCAUGGGCAGGUUGAAGGUUGAGUAACAUCAACUGGAGGACCGAACCGACUAAUGUUGAAAAAUUAGCGGAUGACUUGUGGCUAGGGGUGAAAGGCCAAUCAAACUCGGAGAUAGCUGGUUCUCCCCGAAAGCUAUUUAGGUAGCGCCUCGGACGAAUACUACUGGGGGUAGAGCACUGUUAAGGCUAGGGGGUCAUCCCGACUUACCAACCCUUUGCAAACUCCGAAUACCAGUAAGUACUAUCCGGGAGACACACGGCGGGUGCUAACGUCCGUCGUGGAGAGGGAAACAACCCAGACCGCCAGCUAAGGUCCCAAAUUACAGCUAAGUGGGAAACGAUGUGGGAAGGCUUAGACAGCUAGGAUGUUGGCUUAGAAGCAGCCAUCAUUUAAAGAAAGCGUAAUAGCUCACUAGUCGAGUCGGCCUGCGCGGAAGAUGUAACGGGGCUAAGUUGUAAA
This 890-nucleotide ribosomal RNA is filed under the name Vibrio vulnificus. Its description in RNAcentral is "partial 23S ribosomal RNA". It matches the Rfam family "Bacterial large subunit ribosomal RNA", at positions 291 to 1193 of the family's 2925-position model. Lineage: Bacteria; Pseudomonadati; Pseudomonadota; Gammaproteobacteria; Vibrionales; Vibrionaceae. The record is from RNAcentral.